RNAcentral lists this long non-coding RNA (1629 nucleotides) under Triticum aestivum (bread wheat). Its description in RNAcentral is "long non-coding RNA (TAES_LNC018518)". Lineage: Eukaryota; Viridiplantae; Streptophyta; Magnoliopsida; Poales; Poaceae. The record is from RNAcentral.
GCUCAUGUCGGCGUGGGGCACAGCAGCCGCCGAGGGAGCCGAGCCGGCGGAUGUGGAGGCUGCCGAGCGGCGGUGCUCGCGUGAAGGAGGAAUAUGAUGAUGCGUGGAGUGGCGUGGGGUAACAACCAUCUCCAUCGAGUGGCGGUGCUCGCGUGAAGGAUGAGUUCGUGUUAGUCCCCCUAUCCCGAUCUGGAUUUUAUGGAUCUUUCAAAAAAAGUUCUUGUUAGGGAUUUGAGUUUUUUCCAUUUAACAUGCUCUCAUGUAGGGUAGUAGCACUCUCUCGGCUGUGGCUGCACGUUCAACUGGCCAGUCAAGGAGCUCCAGCAAGCAGGUCCGCCUACUCUCCUUUCCCCUGAGCUCCUGCAACUACACAAAUCAUCUUCCUGGUAUUUUCUCACUUUUGAUUCACAGACUAUGUAUUGUAGUUAGUUCUGGUGAUUAUCAGUUGAUCUAAGACCACUGUACGUGCAUAUCUCAGACUUGAGAAGAAUGCACAUAGCCUUGCUGAGAACAUAAUAUUGUUUCGAUGAUUAUCUUGUUUGUGCGCUUGUUUUGAUAAAACACAGGGGUUAUAGAGGAAUUGAAACAUGUUACAUUGAAAUCAGAGAGCAUGUCGUUGUUGCUUAAUUCCGUUAAUCUUGGCUGUCACUGUAUACCUUGAGAUUCAGGUAGAAGCAAUAGAAUCCAGGAAAAAAAUACCUACCUGCAUGUGUUCCUUAGAGAGUUUGUUUUCUUCAUACCUCACCAUUCUUAAUAUAUAUGGUCAUCUAUGUUCUGGAUAUCACACUCGACGGCCUCCCUUCAUGGCACAAAACUGAAACUACGCCAUGAAUAUAUUUAUUCAGUGAAAUAGCUGAUUCCAAUCAUUCAUCAACUAGCUUUGUUUUAAUCACAGCAAUAAGUCAUGAUAUCUUGAAAUUGCCUGAUUGGUGAUUAUACAUUUUAUAUGAUGUUUUUCACCUGCAAGCUCUGCACUUCUUUCCUUUCAACUUUAUCUCUCUUGCUUUAUUUCAUGAAUAUAUUCCUCUUCUCAUUCCAUCAUUCAGUCUGUUUGCAACAAAAUCCUGAUUCAUAGUCUGUUUUUUUUUAAUGCUUGGCACAUCCUAAACAAAAUCCUGAUUAAACGAUAGGCUUGGCAUAUCUUUUUUUAUCACUAUGGUUGCUUUUAUCCGCAACUGAUUUCUCUGAUUCCUUUCCCAUGCUGUAAUGCAAUUGUUUUGGGCAAUUCCCCAAGGCCUUAUGUUUUAUGUUAUUGGGAACUGCAGGACACCCAGCGAGUGUUUAGGAUCCCACACACGACAGUUCUUGGCAUGCUCCUGGCACACCUUGGACUAUCACCGGCUCAGUAUGAACGCGUUGUUCAUGAGGACGGCAAGACCCAUGUUGUAAAUUGUCUGUAAGCGACGUGUUGCCGUAUCUUCUAUGCCUAAAACGUCUGUAAGCGACGUGUUGUCGUAUCUUCUAUGCCUAAACGCGUCUAUGUUAUGCCUAAAACUUAAAGUUAUCUAUGCAUAGUUGUAAAUUGUCUUUAAGCGACGUGUUGUCGUAUCUUCUAUGCCUAAGAUAUUUGGUGCUAACCUAUCGUGAAACAUGAUUUCUAUGUUCAUGCAUUGUUAAGUAGCUUCUUAU